GACGAACGCUGGCGGCGUGCUUAACACAUGCAAGUCGAACGAAGAGCGAUGGAAGCUUGCUUCUAUCAAUCUUAGUGGCGAACGGGUGAGUAACGCGUAAUCAACCUGCCCUUCAGAGGGGGACAACAGUUGGAAACGACUGCUAAUACCGCAUACGAUCUAAUCUCGGCAUCGAGGAUAGAUGAAAGGUGGCCUCUACAUGUAAGCUAUCACUGAAGGUGGGGAUUGCGUCUGAUUAGCUAGUUGGGGGGGUAACGGCCCACCAAGGCGAUGAUCAGUAGACGGUCUGAGAGGAUGAACGGCCACAUUGGGACUGAGACACGGCCCAGACUCCUACGGGAGGCAGCAGUGGGGAAUCUUCCGCAAUGGACGAAAGUCUGACGGAGCAACGCCGCGUGAGUGAUGACGGCCGUCGGGUUGUAAAGCUCUGUUAAUCGGGACGAAAGGCCUUCUUGCGAAUAGUGAGAAGGAUUGACGGUACCGGAAUAGAAAGCCACGGCUAACUACAUG
This 510-nucleotide ribosomal RNA is filed under the name uncultured bacterium. RNAcentral's name for it is "partial 16S ribosomal RNA". It matches the Rfam family "Bacterial small subunit ribosomal RNA", at positions 28 to 507 of the family's 1533-position model. The record is from RNAcentral.